Molecule: ribosomal RNA, 255 nt
Filed under: uncultured Oscillospiraceae bacterium
Lineage: Bacteria; Bacillati; Bacillota; Clostridia; Eubacteriales; Oscillospiraceae
Description: partial 16S ribosomal RNA
Rfam family: Bacterial small subunit ribosomal RNA
Source: RNAcentral
UUUGUGACUGAGUGGCGGACGGGUGAGUAACGCGUGAGGAACCUGCCUUGGAGUGGGGAAUAACACAGUGAAAAUUGUGCUAAUACCGCAUGAUAUAUUGGUGUCGCAUGGCACUGAUAUCAAAGAUUUAUCGCUCUGAGAUGGACUCGCGUCUGAUUAGAUAGUUGGCGGGGUAACGGCCCACCAAGUCGACGAUCAGUAGCCGGACUGAGAGGUUGGCCGGCCACAUUGGGACUGAGACACGGCCCAGACUCC